GUAAGGGCAUCUACAUGCAUCUUUGGUGGGAGUAUCUAAAGAUGGAUUAGUUUUGGCUGGCAGUCACCCAGAACUGUCCUCAAUUCUGAAUGAGCAGAUUGAAUGCACUCCACAGCUAUUUCUUUUAAAUAUGUUGGAGAACCAUAAUUUGGAUGUUCAAGUUAACAUUUCUGAUAAUAGCAGCAUGUCUGCCCAUUGUGCAAAAGUGAAAGACGCUUGAGAGUCUAGAUCUGGACCUGUGGUCCCUCAAUGUAUGGACUAAUCAUCAAAGGGUCCUGAGUGGCAAAGAAGAACAGGACAAAUUGUAUGCAAUAUGGUACAGAUUUACUGAGACCUUUCACUACCUGAAACAAAGCCAUGCUCCUUCAUCAAUACAGAGGUACUCACUUUAAAAAAAGAAAGCCCACCUGAGGGCAUCAUGUGGUUUUCUGGAAACGUGGGCAUCCAGAAAGGCUACAGAAUGCAGACCACUGGAGACUUGACUUGUAGAAUGAAAGAACGGACAUUCACAAACACCAUGUAACCACCUCAAAAGCAAGUUACUGAUCCACAGGAAGCCCCAUCCUUUUAUUCAACAACUGCUAAAUUUACUCAGGAGUCUUUGGUGAGGGACUUUAUGAAGAGCGUCCAAAACAAUCAUUGUCUUAACAUAUCACCUGUAUCCACAUGACACUCUCAAAAUAACUAUAAAUGUUAAUGAGAUAGGACUUACAUUUGCA
Long non-coding RNA from Rhineura floridana, 719 nucleotides. RefSeq lists it as uncharacterized. The record is from RefSeq and is a predicted model, not a curated record. The transcript is spliced from 3 exons. Lineage: Eukaryota; Metazoa; Chordata; Lepidosauria; Squamata; Rhineuridae.